CUUGGUCAUUAGAGGAAGUAAAAGUCGUAACAAGGUUUCGUAGGUGAACUGCGGAAGGAUCAUUA
This 65-nucleotide ribosomal RNA is filed under the name Laccaria angustilamella. RNAcentral describes it as "partial 18S ribosomal RNA". It matches the Rfam family "Eukaryotic small subunit ribosomal RNA", at positions 1765 to 1831 of the family's 1831-position model. The record is from RNAcentral. RNAcentral also lists the same sequence under 1 other name. Lineage: Eukaryota; Fungi; Basidiomycota; Agaricomycetes; Agaricales; Hydnangiaceae.